RNAcentral lists this long non-coding RNA (782 nucleotides) under Medicago truncatula (barrel medic). RNAcentral describes it as "long non-coding RNA (MTRU_LNC004974)". The record is from RNAcentral. Lineage: Eukaryota; Viridiplantae; Streptophyta; Magnoliopsida; Fabales; Fabaceae.
UAAAAUUUGCCUAUAAUAAGACUGUAUAACAGUAUCAAAGUUUUCAAGAUUAUCAUAUUCAUAGGUACUUGAUAAUUUUCUAGUUGUUUAACAAUUUUUUUGUAUUCUAAGAAAAAGGGCUUGAUUGAUUGUUUGAAACAAUCAAUAAUAUAUCAAGAAUGUACUGCAUAUGAUCAUAAAUCCCAGUAAUGAUUGCAACAACAUCUACACAAAGAAUGAAACAACCAGCCCAAUUUAACAAAUCAAGACUAAAAAAAUGAAACAUAAACUCAAACAAAUAAAAUACCAUUGGGUGUUACAUACCAACCAAAUAAUCCACAUCAUAACCUCAGAACAUGAAUCUUCGAUUGAAUAAUCAACUUGUAACCAUGAGAUGUAGCUCUACGCGCACCAGAGUUAGGAGCUACAAAAAAGUAUGACAUCUUGUACACCUCGCUCUCACUGAAUUUAUGAUGUAAGACAUACAGAAUGUUGCUUCGUCACAAUCGCAUAUAUAGUGCAGCCCUUUCAAAUUCAAAUACAAACACAAAAAUUAACCAUUAUCAAACGCAUUAGCCAUUCUCCAAAAAUUGAACAGGAUUGAUAAUAGGAUUGGGAUGAAAGAGAUGAAAGAAUAACAAAAGUUCUGCAGUGGAAGUGAUGAGCAUGUGGAACCUCAAAACGUAUUUAUAGCCAACUGCAAAGGUAAAAGCAGAAGAAACAGUACCAAUCAGAUCAAUCACAACCGCUCAUAAAAAAUAAUUCAAAUUUUACCCAAGUGACAAAUUAGUGUUAACAUUUAC